UCGAGGGGCAGCGAGUAGAUUGCUUGCAAUCUACGUCGGCGACCGGCGCACGGGUGCGUAACGCGUAUGCAACCUACCCAUUACAGGGGGAUAACACUGAGAAAUCGGUACUAAUACCCCAUAACAUCCAGGGAGGCAUCUUCUUGGGUUGAAAACUCCGGUGGUAAUGGAUGGGCAUGCGUUGUAUUAGUUAGUUGGUGGGGUAACGGCUCACCAAGACGACGAUACAUAGGGGGACUGAGAGGUUAACCCCCCACAUUGGUACUGAGACACGGACCAAACUCCUACGGGAGGCAGCAGUGAGGAAUAUUGGUCAAUGGACGCAAGUCUGAACCAGCCAUGCCGCGUGCAGGAAGACGGCUCUAUGAGUUGUAAACUGCUUUUGUACGAGGGUAAACGCAGAUACGUGUAUCUGUCUGAAAGUAUCGUACGAAUAAGGAUCGGCUAACUCCGUGCCAGCAGCCGCGGUAAUACGGAGGAUUCAAGCGUUAUCCGGAUUUAUUGGGUUUAAAGGGUGCGUAGGCGGUCGGAUAAGUUAGAGGUGAAAUCCCGGGGCUCAACUUCGGAAUUGCCUCUGAUACUGUUCGGCUAGAGAGUAGUUGCGGUAGGCGGAAUGUAUGGUGUAGCGGUGAAAUGCUUAGAGAUCAUACAGAACACCGAUUGCGAAGGCAGCUUACCAAGCUACUUCUGA
Molecule: ribosomal RNA, 691 nt
Filed under: uncultured bacterium
Lineage: Bacteria
Description: bacterial SSU rRNA
Rfam family: Bacterial small subunit ribosomal RNA
Source: RNAcentral